CACCUGAGGAAAUAAAGUUUAGAAAAUCAGUUUUAUCCUGGUUGCACUUUUUUAAACAGGGGAAGGUGGAAGAUACGAAAAGGACCUAUUAUACAUAAAAGAAAAAAAUAAUAGGGUGACAAAAAAUUACUAUACUGUACAUUAUACAUAAACAGCAAUUCAUGUAUAUUGUGGUCAGACGUGUGUUUGUAUUUGAAUUUAUGGCUGCUUGAUUAUGGGUAAAAAUCAUAUUCACGUUUAUUCUGUUCAAUAUUGAAAUCAUGAUUAUUUACACGAUUAAGUUUUUAAGAUUGAAAAAGCAUUUAUUGAACAUGUUUGGAACAGUAUUUAUUGAACAUGUUUAAAUAAGACUCUCCUGUUAACAGUGUUGGAAAACUUAAUUUUUGCCAAAAACUAUUUCAAAGUUCAGUUCACAAAUUUUAAAAGGAACUUGUUCAGUUCAUAAUUGAGAUUUCAUGAACUAAGUUUAUGGUUCCAAAAAUGAAAAGUUUAUGGUUCUUUUCUUCCCCCAAUUAAUAAAAGGUUGCUUUGAGCACUUACCCUCUGGCAUUUUCUCAUUUUCAUCCAUUCCUUUCACACUAAUAUCUAGGUGCUAUCACCUUAAAUACCUAUCUUAAAUACAAGAGAAAAUUGCUUGAAUUCUGUUUUUCUUUAAUAAGUUGAAACAAAAACAUGUCUGUGGUCCAGAACACACACACAGAACACAAACAGUCUGCUGUAGGGGCCAAAACUCAGGUUGGAAAUGAAGCAUGUACAAAUUAAGUAUUCAAUGUGCAAAACAAAAAUUAGAUUUGGUUUAUCUAGAUGUGUUUUGCGGGGUUUUAUUUUGAAGUCUAAGAAGAGAAAAACUGGCAUCCUUGAACAAAAGUAAACUGCUGUUCAAAACCAUUCCAUGGCCCCAAAAUGAGCGUGUUCACAAAAACGUCCACAGAGCAAAAAUGCGCUAUGUUGAGUUAAUGUUCGUCCAAAAUAUUUUAGUGAGUUCAUGAAAAUUCCAUUCAUGGAAUGCGUUAAGGCAGUGGUCCCCAAACACCGGGCCACGGACCGGUACCGGUCCGUGGGUCACUUGGUACCGGGCCGCCAAGCUGCACAGAAAAAAAAAUUUUUUAUCGACGAUCAAUUAAUUCAGGUCAAGACACUCGUCCCGGUCACGUGACAUGUUUCCCCAGUCGAGCCAGCAAAGCUAAUAUGUGGCGACAGGCUAACUAACCAGGCAAUGAAGCAUUCAAAACUGCUUCAACACAUGGAGACCAAGCAUCCUGCAAUAAAAGACAAACCUUAAUCACUUCGGGUGUCAUUGUCUCCAAUUACCUCUAGAUGGGACCGGCUCGUUUCUGAGAAACAAACUCAGUGCUCCCACUAAUUCAACGUAAUGGUGAGUUUUAUUUUUGUCAUUUGUACUUGUUUUUAUGUUAGUCGUAUCAUUUUAUUUCAUCGUAUUUAUAUAUUUAUUAUAAAUGUAUUAUUUCAUUAUAUAAAUGUAUUAUUUAUUUAUAUAAAUGCCGGUCCGCAAAAAUAUUUCUGACAUGUAACCGGUCCGUGGCGCAAAAAAGGUUGGGGACCACUGCGUUAAGGUACAACAUUGCCUGUUAAAUAUGGCCUGGAUCUCCACUCUCCACACAUGUGGGGGUGUUGCGGUUGAGUUGCGCAUGCACGUCUCAGAACGGAAACACCAAAUAAUUGUUUGUCGUUGAUUAUAUGAAUUUUGAGAUUGUCUGGAGCCAAAAUUGUGAUUAUAAUUAUAAUAAUGAGCAGCCCUAAUUUUAAUGCAGCUUGUUUCGCCAAACGCAAGAGGUGUCAGUGUUUAAUGUCAUGUUCUCAUUAUGACCUUUUUGAACCACAAAGGUUUUUAUGAGUUAUUACAGAUAACACUAUUAUCAUUUUAAGUUAGCCAUCACUUGAUAGUUGGAGACCCGACUUGCCAGAUGCAUCCUCACUGCAACACACCUGAUUCAAAUCAUAAGAAUUGCUAUCAGGCUUUUAUAGCGCUUGCUGGUCAGGUGAUCAUUAAAUCAGGUGUGUUGUAGUAGGGCUGCACCUAAAAUGGGCUGGAUAGGCGGCCUUGAGGACCGGAGUUGGUGAGCCCUGUUUCAAAGGCUUCAAAAAGCUGGCAAAAGACUUUUCCCCUGUGACUGAAUUACCUGUGCUAAGCUGUGUGUGUCUGUUUACGGACAAGUAAGAGUAAAGAGUAGCAUUUUAAUGUGAGAUAAGCAUAGGGAACGACGUGCCAUAAAAGCAAUUUCUGUAAUGCACCACCUUCUGGCUGUUGUUUGUUUGGCUAACAGAGAUUCCCAAACCAUUGCUGGCAGCAGACGGCUGACUUAUCCUGGUGGACGGAUCCCCUGCGUCAAGGCCCUCAAGUUUCACGCAUGACCAUCUUUCCCACUCUGAGGAAGCCCCUUGGAAACCUCUGACAAGACACCACUAAAACUGUUCAUAAUACAUAUCCAGUCACUACGGUUUGUAAAGAGAGGGGUGAAUUUGUGCCAGUGCCAAAUGACAUACUAGCUGUUGUGAAAGUGGUAUACAAAUAAAAACGAUAUGUUAGUGGGUUUGAUAGGCAAGAUUGUAAGCCACGAGCAACACCAUGUGAACCAAAGCUUAACUAUUGAUCUGAUCUGAAGAAAUAUACAGAGGUUGUGGGUAGCUUGAUGUACUUAUCAACAUGUACCAGACCAGAUCUGAGCUACAUAGUGAGGAAAGCUACCCAAUAUCUUUCCAAACCAACUAUGGAAUAACGGGCUACAGUAAAACAUGUACUAAGGUACUUAAAGGGUGCAAAGUACUAAGUUACUUAAAGGGUGCAAAGGAAAAGAUACAAAAAGAGUGACAAUGAGCCACUUGGGUUGGGAGCAUUCAGUGAUGCAAACUGGGCAGAACACGGUACUGACAGACGUAGUACUUCAGGUUAUUGUCAGCUUAAGCCAAUUUGGUCCCGUGAUUUCAUGGAAAACCAAAAGACAAGCAACGGUAGCUAUUUUAACGUGUGAAGCUGAAUACAUGGCCUUAGCUGUCCUUUAUGCUAUGCCUUAGCUAACUAUACAUGUCUGUAUUUAGUUCAACUGUUAGAUGGUAUUGAUGGGUAUCAUUACAGGCAGCCAAAGGUUCACAGACAACCAAGGAGCUAAAAAUACUGUGCAAAGACAUUGAUGGAAACAUGUUGACAUAAAAUAUCAUUUUGUAAGCUCAACUGUUAACGAUGGCAAAGUAAACGUCUGUCCAACAGAACAAAUGGUGGCAGAUAUCAAAAUCUAAAUUGAUUACUUUUGUGGCAUUUAUAUUUGGAGUGUAAUGAGAUUUAUGUUUAUGAAAUGUGUUAAUCAGAUGAAGAAUUUUUCGGUACGUAAAUUUGGAAAGUAAUGAGAUUUAUGAAAUGUAUUUAUCAGAUGAUGAAUUUUGUGGUACUUCUGUUUGAAGAGUAAUGAGAUUUAUGUUUAUGAAAUGUGAAUAACAUUGAGAAUAUCAAUUCUAUUUAUAUUUGAUCAUUUUUAGAUUGUAUUUAUAUUUAUAUUUUCAUAUAUUUUAUAUAUUUUUAUUUUGCAUUAUCUACCAAUAUGAGAGCAAGUGGGGCUGUUAGUAUAUGUGCGCUAUACUUUGGGGCUUUUAUUUUGGCGUAUGCUACACAGGAAGUAUUGCUUUUAUUGUUUUCGUUUAACAAAUGUGCUCAAUAAAAAACAGGUGCCGUCAAUCAGUUGAUUAGCACUGGCAAACCAAAGUAAACUCUGUUGGUGUUCUUUCUGUUCUGUCUGUCUCCACAGUAUUAAUGUUUUAUUGAAAUAACAAUUUGUGCCAGUGCCAAAUGACAUACUACGCUAUAGCUGUUGUGAAAGCGCUAUAUAAAUGAAAAUGUAUUGUUGUAUUUUAUUAAUUGUCACACACACAGCAUAUACAGUAGAAUCUACUACUGUAGAUUUUGUUUGACAGGGGUGUCAAACUCUUUUUUUUUU
Syngnathus typhle (broad-nosed pipefish) is the source of this 3947-nucleotide long non-coding RNA. RefSeq lists it as uncharacterized. NCBI's taxonomy places the organism in Eukaryota, Metazoa, Chordata, Actinopteri, Syngnathiformes, Syngnathidae. The record is from RefSeq and is a predicted model, not a curated record. The transcript is spliced from 3 exons.